UACGUAGGGUGCGAGCGUUGUCCGGAAUUAUUGGGCGUAAAGAGCUCGUAGGCGGUGUGUCACGUCGUUCGUGAAAACCUGCAGCUUAACUGUGGGCGUGCGGUCGAUACGGGCAUCACUGGAGUUCGGCAGGGGAGACUGGAAUUCCUAGUGUAGCGGUGAAAUGCGCAGAUAUCAGGAGGAACACCGAUGGCGAAGGCAGGUCUCUGGGCCACUACUGACGCUGAGAAGCGAAAGCAUGGGGAGCGAACAGG
RNAcentral lists this ribosomal RNA (254 nucleotides) under uncultured bacterium. RNAcentral describes it as "partial 16S ribosomal RNA". It matches the Rfam family "Bacterial small subunit ribosomal RNA", at positions 524 to 776 of the family's 1533-position model. The record is from RNAcentral.